Trichechus manatus latirostris (Florida manatee) is the source of this 107-nucleotide small nuclear RNA. NCBI's taxonomy places the organism in Eukaryota, Metazoa, Chordata, Mammalia, Sirenia, Trichechidae. The record is from RefSeq and is a predicted model, not a curated record.
GUGCUUGCUUUGACAGCACAUUUAUUAAAAUUGGAACGAUGCAGAGAAGAUUAGCAUGGCCGCUGUACAAAGAUGACAUGCAAAUUCAUGAAGUGUUCCAUAUUUUU